RNAcentral lists this long non-coding RNA (375 nucleotides) under Mytilus galloprovincialis (Mediterranean mussel). The record is from RNAcentral. Lineage: Eukaryota; Metazoa; Mollusca; Bivalvia; Mytilida; Mytilidae.
AUUCGAUCUUUAUUUGGCUUUUUGAAUUUUUGUAUUCGAGCAUCACUGACGAGUCUGUUGUAGACGGAAACGGUCGUUUAACUUACAAGAUAUUUAGCCUGGUAUCUAUGACAAGUUUAUUUAUAUUUACACAUCAUGUUGUUUGUCAAAAAAAUCAUUAUUUACGAAAUACUAAAACACAAGGCUGAGAAAAACUACAAAUAUCCAUAGAAAUGAUAUACAUAUUGUACAUACUCUUAGCAUCAGGUUUUAUGGCUAGCCAAAAUAGUUAUCUUUUGUUUUGAUUCACUAGGUAAUUGUAAGAUAUUAUUUACAAACAAGUCAGUGCAUUUAUCCAAGAUAUACAUGUAGAUACAUUUUUAUGACGGAUUCCUU